Linepithema humile (Argentine ant) is the source of this 1019-nucleotide non-coding RNA. The record is from RefSeq and is a predicted model, not a curated record. Lineage: Eukaryota; Metazoa; Arthropoda; Insecta; Hymenoptera; Formicidae.
GCCAUCGACUUUUGAACUGGCAAUGAAUAUCGGAAUGUCUUAGGCGCACAAGAUAAGCCGAUAUAUCAAUCGAUUGAAAAUACGCGCUUUUUAAAAAGAACAUCGACGGCGCGAUAGUGGCGCAGCGGUGAUACGCAGUGCUACGUGCUACGUGCUACAUCGAAGGUAUAACGUUUUGUCCUUGUCUUUCGAAGCUUGUUUUUGAGACCAUGUCGAGCACAAGUGCGUGUAGUACGUAUAAUUUAUUAACGAAAUGGGGAUUUUCUCCUGAAAUAAUAGCGAACUUUACAGGUAAGUAAGUCAAUUUAUUUUUGAUAAAAAUGGUAAGAGUAACGUAUAACUUGGACUCGUUUGGACGAGGGGAGUGAAAUCUGAGGAAUGAAGGGAAAAUCCAUUGCAACCAUCUUGAUUGAUGAGAUUUUGCGUACAUAUAACACACGAUAUAUCUAUUUUCACGUCCCAUUGACAUGGUUUUAACCGAGCCAUCGUUGGGAUUUAAGCUCAAGAAAUUGAAGCAGAUCAAUUAAAUAUUUUAACGGAAGAAGAUCUUAAGAGUUUAAUCCCAAACAUAGGACCGCGAAGAAAAUUUCAAAGUAUUGUGAAACAAUAUCUAAAAUGAAAGAGAGAUUCAACAGUUACAUCCGGAAGAAAAUUCUAAUACAAUUAAUCAUGAACAACAGUCACUAGCUGCACAACAAGAACAAGUAGAAAAUCUUAUAAAGCAGAAAAAUAUAGAGAGCAAUAUACACAAUCAAGAUAUUAUAUACUACCUACAAUCAUUGCCUGAAACUCAGCAGAGUAUUUCGGACAAUGUCUCUGUCGCUACUAGUGAACUUAAUGAUGUAUUACUUGAAAAUAAAGAAAAUCAAUUAGGGGUGAAACGACAUCUGACUGAUGAUGAAUAUAAUCUUGAAGCUGUGUUAAAAAAAUCUGAAGAAGGCUUAUUGGUGCUAAGUUCAUACCAAAAAGAAAAAAGGUUGAAUAAUGAUAUGCGAAAUAAGCUUGCAAAACUAAUUGUU